RNAcentral lists this unclassified non-coding RNA (18 nucleotides) under Mus musculus (house mouse). RNAcentral describes it as "oocyte_clustered_small_RNA7469". Lineage: Eukaryota; Metazoa; Chordata; Mammalia; Rodentia; Muridae. The record is from RNAcentral.
UGUUUGGUAGGCCCGGGG